UUUUAUAUAUACACACACACACCCACACACCUAGAUGUAAAUAUCAGAAAAUGAAAGCUGUAAUUCUGAUCUAUUGUCUCGUAUUCAUCUUUUGAUUUCAAAUAUAUAAAUAAACAUCUUAUGAACACAAUACAGAACAGUCUAGAGCUUACAGCAGAAACAUGUAAACAUCCAUGUGCACACACAAACACGCACACCCCCGUGUACAUGCUGACGGAGCACAUCUUGUCAAACAGCUGGUCACUCGGUCUGUAAAACCGCGUGUGAGAAUCCAGACACACCCUGCAGCUCGGUCAGCUUUUGAGCAGUUGACAUUCCGAUAUGCGAGAUCUGCUCAGACAGGCCACGACUACCCCGACUCUUAACAGUUCCAGGAAGCAGAUAUGGCCUUGAAAAUUUUGCUUUUGCUAUUUUUGUUCCUCAGCUGUUGAACUAUAUUUAUUAAAUUACUAUUAAAUAAUUAUUAUUGAAUUGGUACACAGGGCCUGAGAGUGAUACCAAGCUCCCAGAAGAGCUUUACUGCUUAAGGGUUAAAAAGAAAAAAAAUAUAUGUGGAUCUUGUCUGCUCAUUGCAAAGUGUAAUCAUUUCAUCAGUGUGAUAAUGGGUCUGCUUAAUUCAUAUGUGAUACACAAAUAUAAUUGUACAAGUUUAUUCUUUAGGAUUCACAAUAAAAUGCAUGGUAGGAAGCUCAUUUUUGGCAUCGUUUAAUGGCCAGUACUCAUGAAACAAAUGAAUUUGAUCUCUGGUUCUCCAAAAAAAAAAAAAAAAAGUGUGUUGUGCUGUUGGUCUUUGUAUGGUUGUGGCUAGUUCAUACUGUAGUUGUUAAUUACCAACACCUCCUUUGUACACUCCAAAAGCAUCCCACCCUUUUUGAAAUCCCUCCAGAUGGAACAGUUGACAUUCCAGUGGGCUUGGUGCAAGAAUUACAGUUCAAGCCCCACCUGCUCAUUGCCUCUACACUUUAUAUUAUAGGUGUCGUUUGGUAGCAGAAUGUCAAGAGCAACACGUUCCUCAACACGAAGACAGACACAGAGAUGCACAUACAUACACACACACACUCCUGCAAGGGCUUGGUUUUUCCGUUUGGUGGUUCCACAGAUGGAGCUCGAUUAAUGUCUGACUUCAAACGCUUAAAGCAGGCUGCGGCAUCACACAGCAGCCUCAUUAAUCACAGUCUACAGAGGGAGAAAACUGGGUUAGGCAGCUACAUACACCCCCUCAGCCACACAGACAUAUAAGCACAUCUCUCUCACACACAUACACACACACACACACACACAUACACACACACACACACACACACACACACACACAGCUAUAAGUCAACUAAACACUGCACAACGACUGCAUGAUUAAGCUCACAGUUAACCUUACGACGAAUAUUUCUGGCAGAAAUAGUGUUUGUAAGGUUCGUAAACACUGGAAUUGCCCUCUCUGGCUAGACUCUCAAGGUACUCACUGUUCUCUCUCUCUCUCUCUCUCUCUCUCCCAGAAACAUAUGAAUCUCUUGCCAUCACUAUGGCAACCCUCCUCCCUGAGUCUGAUCAGCAUCCUCUGUUUCUCACAGAUUAGAAUCUGUAAUCUAUCCCCCCUCCCCACCCAUUUUGGAGAGGGUUGGGGUUGUCAUGGCGGGACAGAGAGAAAGACAGAAAGUGAAUAAAGAAGAGAAAAAGAAAGAUGCCUUUGUGUUUAAGUAAAAGGCAUGAAAUCACCACAGCAACUCAAGUUCUUUGGGCCAAAUGGCAGGCAAUGGCAGCAACGCAAAACAAAAAGCUAAAAAGAAAAAGAUGGAAGGAGGCACACAGAUAGUUUGGUAAAAUGCUGGUUGCUCACAGUAGAGUGACACACAUUACACGUAAUAUCACAGUAAUAUUACACAAACGUCCUGCAACAACAGCUAAAGUGGCUCUGCGGUCAGUUACCGUCUGCUACUUCGGCUCACGUGGAGAAGUCAUUCAAACAGUAGAGUUGUGAUCAUUUUCCUUCCUAUUUAUACCACAACACUGAUGAUUUCUUAAAUCUGAUUAGUCAGAACAUGUUGAUUAAUUUUCUAUAACAAAAGCCAGAUGUAAUUAACAUGAUAGGUUUAUAUUAAUACACUCAUUCUAAUGUGUUAUCAUUAGCGUAGUAACUUAUUCACAGGGACGCUCCACAUAAUCUAAGGCUAAAAAUAAACACGCAAAAUGUAUAAUCUUUGAUAUGGUGAAGGUUUCUGUUAUGAGACGUUUAUUUAACAUUUAUGGAAGGAGUCUCCAGUGUCAGCAUGUUCCAACACCCAGUAAGUUUUCCACCACAGGAGAAUCUUCAGGACAAUGGAGUUUGUUGUGGGUUUUUUUUUUAUUUCAAGACAAAAACUUCCACAGAGAGAGAGAGAGAGAGAGAGAGAGAGAAAGAGAAAGAGUGGCUGUAGAGGGAAUGACUGUCUAUAGCUGCUAUAACCAGUCAUUCCGUCGGCAGCCUCUGUCUGUCUCUCUGUCUGUCUCUCUGUCUGUCUCUCUGUCUGUCUCUCUGUCUGUCUCUCUGUCUGUCUCUCUGGAAGUUUUUGUCUUGAAAUAAGAAAAAAAAACACAGCAACCUUGUCUCACAGACAAGUCCACAACAUUAAAUGUAACAAUAAAUGGUUAAAAAGCAUCACAUUAUUCAUUAAUAAAUUAAAACUUGUAAUUGUUGGCCAAUUGUGCUAUAAGAGGAUUAAAAAAACAACAGGAUGUGUUGUUAUAGGAAAGUAAUCCAUUUUAGGGUGUUACGGUUGUAAAAGUAACUCUGUUUCAAACUGUAGUCUGAUCAUUUUUUUUAAAAAUCUGCUACACCAUUCAUUUAACAUAAAAAAUUGCAACCUUGGCACAAAUGGGAACAUCAUCUUAAUUUCAGAAUCACUCCAGCCUGCAGUUGUCUCCUGUUAUUGUUUCAUCUGUUGUCAUGCUACUCUUCAGUGUUUACCUUUUACUGACUAAUUAUGUUAUAUUUCUCUGUAAAAAUGUACACAUGAACAGUGCUUUAGUUUUCCUGACUCGAUGACCUCCAAAGCCAAAGGCUGCUUACACACAGACAUUCAGUAACCUCAGACGGAAGAAACCACACCAAACGGCAUCUCCGUGGUGACUUCUAGGUCAGCUGUAGGUCAUCACUCCUACCUAUGUGUCUGUGUGUGACAAGUGUGAUGAGUGACAGAACAAAGAAACGGAGGGAAGAUGACAAGGAAACAGGAAGGAGGGGUGGGGAAGGGGACAGAGGACAUGUAGACUAGCAGAUUCUUGAAUCUGCUAAUCUCCAUGAUGUUUAAACCAAUUUAGCAGAUUGUCACCACAUUAACACCAUUUUGAAACGUUGGCCACUUAUCUCUGGGGCGUGGAUUCAGGUCCUAACAACUAAAAAAAUACUGAGUAAUGAUUUUAAAAAAAAACAGCCAUGAAAUACACAAAACUCCUGAUCUGAUCCUAAUCUAUUUCAAACAUUAAUCAACACUUAAUAUUUAUAUGUUUUACUACAUACAAUCCUAUGGGAAGGGAAAAAAAGGCAGCUGGACAAACUGAACACUUGGCAUAGACACACAAUCAGUCGGCUGCACUCGCGUCACGUGACUGCAGGCUGCUGUAAUCCAAAAUUAAAACCACUUCAGUCCUUUAACUCUUUUCAAAAAUUAGCUUGUUCCAUGCUCACGGCUGUCCCUGGUGGACAAAGCAAGGAUAAUGAUAUUGCUCAACAAGCCAACAGCAGACAGACCGAAGACCUCAUCACAAAUCCACAAAUAUUCAUCAUAUCAUAUAUUAAGAUAUCAUGAUUGCUGACUAUCAUGAUCAUAUCUUUUGGCUUCUGCAAUUAAAAUUAAAUGAUUAAUUAUUGCAUUGUUUUGUUUUGUUUUUAAUCAAUCAUUCAGGGGAAUUAAUCCACAAGCUCCCCAUUCAUAGUUUAACAAUGUGUAUAGCUGCAUACUGUGGUGGCUGCUAUACACAUUGUUAAACUAUUUAUUUAUUCGUUUGUUUAGUGAUCUACUCACUGACUAAUGGUCAAUCUUAUUCCGAGUCAAAGACACAGACAUCUAAAGAAUAUAGGAUAGUAAUGUACAUCACGAAAAACUUUUUUUUUUAAAUAAAAAUGAUAAAGCACAGUGGAUUACAAAAAUAAUAGUGAUCAUAAUGUUCACGUCACACAGCUCUACAUCUCCACAUGUACUCAUACCAAGACAAAAAAUAAACACUGUUCUAACUCCACUACACUGUGACUCCUAUAACAUCAUUCUACCAUAAACUGAAAUGAAACCUCGACAACAACCUCAAAGCCAAACUAGGACAAAUG
This is a long non-coding RNA of Pangasianodon hypophthalmus (striped catfish), 4297 nucleotides long. RefSeq lists it as uncharacterized. The transcript has 3 exons. NCBI's taxonomy places the organism in Eukaryota, Metazoa, Chordata, Actinopteri, Siluriformes, Pangasiidae. The record is from RefSeq and is a predicted model, not a curated record.